Molecule: ribosomal RNA, 327 nt
Filed under: uncultured soil bacterium
Lineage: Bacteria
Description: bacterial SSU rRNA
Rfam family: Bacterial small subunit ribosomal RNA
Source: RNAcentral
AGAUUGAACGCUGGCGGCAUGCCUAACACAUGCAAGUCGAACGGCAGCGCGGGUAGCAAUACCUGGCGGCGAGUGGCGGACGGGUGAGGAAUACAUAGGAAUCUACCCUGUCGUGGGGGAUAACGUAGGGAAACUUACGCUAAUACCGCAUACGACCGAGAGGUGAAAGCGGCGGACCGCAAGGCGUCGCGCGGCUGGAUGAGCCUAUGUCCGAUUAGCUAGGUUGGGCGGGGUAAGACGCCCACGAAGGCGACGAUCGGUAGCGUGGUCUGAGAGGAUGAUCACGCCACAGUGGGACUGGACGACCGACCGGCCCAGGACCUCCGG